RNAcentral lists this transfer RNA (77 nucleotides) under Podarcis lilfordi (Lilford's wall lizard). RNAcentral's name for it is "tRNA.Thr". Lineage: Eukaryota; Metazoa; Chordata; Lepidosauria; Squamata; Lacertidae. The record is from RNAcentral.
ACCACAUGGAUAGCUCAUUUGGUUAGAGUGUGGCGCUGGUAAUGCCACGGUUGCAGGUUUGAUCCCAGUAUGGGGCA